UUUAUUUCUCAAGGACUCUCAAGGCAGACACAGGGACUGGAGGGUCUGCUUCACACGUUCAUGUCAAAGAUCCAGUUUCACAGAUCACUACUGAUGAAGUUUUCCAAUAUGUACCAUAAUUAUAGGUACAAUUUGUUCCACAGAACCAAACAACUCAUCCUGGAUCUUCAUUUCCCAUUCACCCAGAUGAAAGCACGACCGUGUUUCUGUGUGUACAAUCCAGAAUGCUCCAGCAAGAAGGACGUGUGGAAAAGUACUCGCAAGGUCUUUGUAUGGACUUUAUAGCCUGCUUGCAAAUACCAGAUAGUACCAGAAGGGCUGUGUAAAGUGACUGACCUAUGACAGGUUUUCACAGGCUAAAUACCACUGUUGUUAACUGAACAUUUUGCCUUCUGCCACAAGAAAAAUACCCACCAUUCUCUGGCAAUAGAUACUGGACAAUUUUCUAGCUUUGGCUUUCUGUUAGAAUGACUGAAGCAUGGUGUUGUCAGAAAACCUGUCCUUUUGCUUCUCAUAUAAAAAUGCAGUUUCACCGCCUAUAGAAUUUUAGCCUGAUUACUCUCUCAAGAUCUAUACAUCGUUCACUCAUUUAUUUAUUUUUAUUUAUAGAAAUUGUAUAAUUCAAGGUUGGGCUUGAUCUUUUGAGUGAUAAAAUGGCUUUUGUUGUUUGCAUGGUCAUAAUCUUUUGAGGGAAGGCAAGGAAUUUUUGGAGCUUGGAAGCAGCAGGCUGAGUAGUAGAGCUUCUCAUCAUGAAGCCUUGGGUCACUGCUGGUCCCAGGCCAUUAAGAGGUGUAACAACUGGAAAAAUCCUGCCCUUCCAAACAUCCAAAUCCACAUAUUCCAGCACAUACUGGCAAACAAACAAGC
This 867-nucleotide long non-coding RNA is filed under the name Chrysolophus pictus (golden pheasant). Its description in RNAcentral is "lncRNA (ENSCPIG00010010786.1)". Lineage: Eukaryota; Metazoa; Chordata; Aves; Galliformes; Phasianidae. The record is from RNAcentral.